UUCAAAAAUAUGAGGAUGAAAAUUAAUCCAUGUGAGUGUAUGGAAAGAGAGGCUGCAUUUAGUCGGUCCUGCAUGGUGGAGGAGGUGAAGGUGGUGGAGUGCUGCAUGGUGACGCCCAGCGAGGAGACGCCCAGGUGCAGACUCUGGCUCUCCCCGCUUGACCUCAUGAUGGUCAACAGGGGCCACACCCCGAUAGUCUACUUCUACCGCUCCGCCUCAGUCUCCGACGACGGCUUCUUCGAGGUGGCCAGGCUGAAGGCCGCGAUGGCCAAGGCCCUGGUCCCGUUCUACCCUCUCGCCGGCCGUCUGGGCGUUGAUGGUGAUGGCCGGCCAGAGAUCGACUGCACUGGACAAGGUGCGCGCUUCGUGGUUGCUCGCUCAGAACUCGCCACCGCCGACUUCAGCGCUCGCCAGCCGUCGCCUGAGCUGAGGAGGCUCUUCAUCCCCAGGGACAUCGACGAUGUCAUACUCGCCGUCCAGGUGACCUUCUUCAAGUGCGGUGGGGUGGCCCUAGGCACCGCGCUGCACCACGUCGUCAUCGAUGCCCUAAGCGCGUUCCACUUCUUCCAGACGUGGUCCGCCUUCUCCAGAGACGGGGCCGGCGACGGCGCUGGAGCAGCCGCGACAGCGCUGGAGCUGCCAUGCCACGACCGUACCCUCAUUCGCGCACGCUCCCCGCCACGCGUCGUCAACCCCGACGCUCUCUCCGUGUUCUUGCCCCUCAAAAACGACCCAAACAUACCCGUGCCGGAGCCAUCUGGGCCUGCCGUCAACGAGAUUUUUGUUCUGUCCAACGACCAGGUCACCGCUCUGAAGCGUGCCUGCGGUGGCGCGAGCACGUUCUGCGCCCUCAGCGCCCACGUGUGGCGCUGCCUGUGCGCCGCUCGGCGGCUACCGACGGACGCCGAGACGCGGUUCAGCUUCCCGGCUAACUUC
Molecule: ribosomal RNA, 936 nt
Filed under: Triticum aestivum (bread wheat)
Lineage: Eukaryota; Viridiplantae; Streptophyta; Magnoliopsida; Poales; Poaceae
Description: partial small subunit ribosomal RNA
Source: RNAcentral